CCCUCCGGGCAGUUUGCACGGAGAGCUGUGCUCCUUUGGCUGUAGAGGGCAGGAUGUCGUACUUCCCCCUUCCCUACCACCGCCUUGGAGACGGAGAGGCGGGACUCAAAGGGAUGCUCCCGCACCCCCUUCCUCCUUCCAAAGACGUUUCAGUCGCAAUUGGCCCAAUUCUUCGGUCUCCGACCCGCUGCAAGGACUCCAAAGUCUGGGGAAUGGACUAGACCACCCAUGUCCCAGGGGACAGGGAGGAUACGAGACGUAACCUCUUGCGUUCGCGGUGUAGGCCAAGUGUUCUUCAUCCCGAACUCGGAAAAUAAGGCUCGCAAGUUAUUCACGGUAUUGUUCACAAUUAAGUUUUUGGUUAAGAAUAGGAAUUGAAAAACUGUAGCCUGCUUUGCACUCGCCUCCCCCAUCUACCAAAUGGAAGUUACCGGCUAAGAAGGACGCAUGCGUCGGGGCGUGUUCUCGCGCUGGGACGUCCGGGCCCGCCUCUCCCAAGCCCCGCCUCUUGGAAGUCGUGUUUGCUGAGCCAGGAUUUUGAUCAAUGCAGUGGCAUACAUAUAAGGAAGGUUUAUCUGGUGGUGGUAUACAGAAGGACUGGAAUGGAAUGAAGUUAUGAUCAGAGAAACACAUCUGCACAAAGGGGCUGGGACAGAUUCCCAAGACUUUAAAUUGCCAAGACCAGGAAGUCGUGGUACUAGGAUUUCAUACCAG
Molecule: long non-coding RNA, 714 nt
Organism: Myotis myotis
Lineage: Eukaryota; Metazoa; Chordata; Mammalia; Chiroptera; Vespertilionidae
Exons: 3
Source: RefSeq, a predicted model, not a curated record